GAUGAAGAACGCAGCGAAAUGCGAUAAGUAGUGUGAAUUGCAGAAUUCAGUGAAUCAUCGAAUCUUUGAACGCACAUUGCGCCCCUUGGUAUUCCAUGGGGCAUGCCUGUUCGAGCGUCAUUUGUACCUUCAAGCUUUGCUUGGUGUUGGGUGUUUGUCUCGCCUCUGCGUGUAGACUCGCCUCAAAACAAUUGGCAGCCGGCGUAUUGAUUUCGGAGCGCAGUACAUCUCGCGCUUUGCACUCAUAACGACGACGUCCGAAAGUACAUUUUUACACUCUUGACCUCGGAUCAGGUAGGGAUACCCGCUGAACUUAAGCAUAUCAAUAAGCGGAGGA
RNAcentral lists this unclassified non-coding RNA (337 nucleotides) under soil metagenome. RNAcentral's name for it is "partial contains 5.8S ribosomal RNA, internal transcribed spacer 2, and large subunit ribosomal RNA". The stretch from base 1 to 120 matches the Rfam family "5.8S ribosomal RNA", at positions 35 to 154 of the family's 154-position model. The record is from RNAcentral.